GAUCAUGGCUCAGGAUGAACGCUAGCGACAGGCUUAACACAUGCAAGUCGAGGGGCAUCACGGGAGUAGCAAUACAACUGGUGGCGACCGGCGCACGGGUGAGUAACGCGUAUGCAACCUACCUAUCAGAGGGGAAUAACCCGGCGAAAGUCGGACUAAUACCGCAUAAAACAGGGGCACCGCAUGGUGAUAUUUGUUAAAGAAAUUCGCUGAUAGAUGGGCAUGCGUUCCAUUAGGUAGUUGGUGAGGUAACGGCUCACCAAGCCGACGAUGGAUAGGGGAACUGAGAGGUUGGUCCCCCACACUGGUACUGAGACACGGACCAGACUCCUACGGGAGGCAGCAGUGAGGAAUAUUGGUCAAUGGGCGGGAGCCUGAACCAGCCAAGUCGCGUGAAGGAAGAAGGAUCUAUGGUUCGUAAACUUCUUUUGCAGGGGAAUAAAGUGCAGGACGUGUCCUGUUUUGUAUGUACCCUGAGAAUAAGGAUCGGCUAACUCCGUGCCAGCCGCCGC
This 512-nucleotide ribosomal RNA is filed under the name uncultured bacterium. RNAcentral describes it as "bacterial SSU rRNA". It matches the Rfam family "Bacterial small subunit ribosomal RNA", at positions 15 to 518 of the family's 1533-position model. The record is from RNAcentral.